UACGUAGGGUGCGAGCGUUAAUCGGAAUUACUGGGCGUAAAGCGUGCGCAGGCGGUUUGGCAAGUCAGAUGUGAAAUCCCCGAGCUUAACUUGGGAACUGCGUUUGAAACUGCGAGACUAGAGUGUAGAAGAGGGGGGUAGAAUUCCACGUGUAGCAGUGAAAUGCGUAGAGAUGUGGAGGAAUACCGAUGGCGAAGGCAGCCCCCUGGUCUAACACUGACGCUCAUGCACGAAAGCAUGGGGAGCGAACAGG
This 253-nucleotide ribosomal RNA is filed under the name uncultured bacterium. Its description in RNAcentral is "partial 16S ribosomal RNA". It matches the Rfam family "Bacterial small subunit ribosomal RNA", at positions 524 to 776 of the family's 1533-position model. The record is from RNAcentral.